AACGAACGCUGGCGGCAGGCCUAACACAUGCAAGUCGAACGCCGUAGCAAUACGGAGUGGCAGACGGGUGAGUAACACGUGGGAACGUACCCUUCGGUUCGGAAUAACUCAGGGAAACUUGAGCUAAUACCGGAUACGUCCGAGAGGAGAAAGAUUUAUCGCCGAGGGAUCGGCCCGCGUCUGAUUAGCUUGUUGGUGAGGUAACGGCUCACCAAGGCGACGAUCAGUAGCUGGCUGAGAGGAUGAUCAGCCACAUUGGGACUGAGACACGGCCCAAACUCCUACGGGAGGCAGCAGUGGGGAAUAUUGGACAAUGGGCGCAAGCCUGAUCCAGCCAUGCCGCGUGAGUGAUGAAGGCCCUAGGGUUGUAAAGCUCUUUUACCCGGGAAGAUAAUGACUGUA
This 402-nucleotide ribosomal RNA is filed under the name uncultured bacterium. RNAcentral describes it as "bacterial SSU rRNA". It matches the Rfam family "Bacterial small subunit ribosomal RNA", at positions 29 to 459 of the family's 1533-position model. The record is from RNAcentral.